CCUACGGGAGGCAGCAGUGGGGAAUAUUGCACAAUGGGCGAAAGCCUGAUGCAGCAACGCCGCGUGAGUGAUGAAGGCCUUCGGGUCGUAAAACUCUGUCCUCAAGGAAGAUAAUGACGGUACUUGAGGAGGAAGCCCCGGCUAACUACGUGCCAGCAGCCGCGGUAAUACGGAGGGGGCUAGCGUUAUCCGGAUUUACUGGGCGUAAAGGGUGCGUAGGCGGUCUUUCAAGUCAGGAGUGAAAGGCUACGGCUCAACCGUAGUAAGCUCUUGAAACUGGGAGACUUGAGUGCAGGAGAGGAGAGUGGAAUUCCUAGUGUAGCGGUGAAAUGCGAAGAUAUUAGGAGGAACACCAGUU
RNAcentral lists this ribosomal RNA (358 nucleotides) under Clostridioides difficile. Its description in RNAcentral is "bacterial SSU rRNA". It matches the Rfam family "Bacterial small subunit ribosomal RNA", at positions 338 to 714 of the family's 1533-position model. The record is from RNAcentral. Lineage: Bacteria; Bacillati; Bacillota; Clostridia; Peptostreptococcales; Peptostreptococcaceae.